This 373-nucleotide long non-coding RNA is filed under the name Phocoena sinus (vaquita). Its description in RNAcentral is "lncRNA (ENSPSNG00000004170.1)". The record is from RNAcentral. Lineage: Eukaryota; Metazoa; Chordata; Mammalia; Artiodactyla; Phocoenidae.
GCCGGAGAGAGGCCUUGUAGGUACAGACGCUGAGGCUCGGUCGGCUCCGAGAAGGGCCUCUUUCGCGGGUGGGAGUCCGGGGUUCCGCGCCCGCCAACCCGCGCCUUGCCCCCUCCCAGCUCCCGGGCCGACGAAAUGACCAUUAAGAAGUAGAUGCCCAGAUGCCAAAGUAAUGAAACAGUCAAUUUGUCAUAAAGUAAGAUGCAGCUGUGGCUUUUCAACCAGAUUAGGACAAAAUUGUAUCUAUUUUUCUCAGAAGAGAAUUCCACAAGGUUAAGUCAGCAAACAAAGAAAACAUGGUGUUUUGAAGUAUGAUUAAACUCCUGAUGCUGCAGCAGAGGCUAAGAAUAUUAAUGGCCAGAUCUAGUGCUCA